UCAGUUUACCUCACUAUCUAUGUGCCACAUGCUGCGGUUAGCGUGUGGUUGACUGGGAUCACUGUCAUCUGAUCGUGUUCCUGGUACUGUCUACAAACUCUACAACAGCAACUAAUACUGAAGGUUUCCUUGGACUGACUGUGGAAUUCAGUAUACCUCAACUUUAAUGAUUUGAAUGAUUUGACCUCUGAAGACAUAAUCAAACUGUUCUCCCAAUUAACACCACACUCAUGCACUCUUUUGACUCUCCCAUCACUCUUCCAUCACUUCCCCAAAGAAAGACCUGGACCUUGGGAGACCAUGCUUUGUGUUCUGCUGGUCCAAGGCAUCGGAUCAUACAACUUGCAUUAGAACUUAAACGUCAAUCAGCACUUUCAAAUGAUAUCUUAAAUCUUGCUUUAAUAGUUUGGAAUUUAUUCUGUGUAUUGUAUUAAAAUGUGUUUCACAA
Molecule: long non-coding RNA, 448 nt
Organism: Lepisosteus oculatus (spotted gar)
Lineage: Eukaryota; Metazoa; Chordata; Actinopteri; Semionotiformes; Lepisosteidae
Source: RefSeq, a predicted model, not a curated record